GUGCCUAUAUUGAAACUUUGCCCAAGAGUGGAAAAGCAUGUCUAGGUGAUAUCAUCUAUCGUUACAUCACUGCUGACAAUUUCUCACCUGAAUGUCUUCUUGAUUGCCUGGACUUGUCAUCAGAGCACCAUACGCUGGAAGUUGCAAAUAGAAUUGAGGCUGCUGUGCAUGUUUGGAGACUGAAGGACCAGAAGAAACAUCCACAUAAAAGAAAAUCUAAAGGCAAGUCAUGGGGAGGGAAGGUCAAGGGCCUUGUUGCAGAUGGUGGUAAGAAUCAAUAUCUGGGAGAACGAGCAGAAACUCUCUUGCAUAGUCUCAGGCUUCGCUUCCCUGGUCUUCCUCAAACUGCACUUGACAUGAACAAAAUACAGUAUAACAAGG
Molecule: unclassified non-coding RNA, 381 nt
Filed under: Hevea brasiliensis (rubber tree)
Lineage: Eukaryota; Viridiplantae; Streptophyta; Magnoliopsida; Malpighiales; Euphorbiaceae
Source: RNAcentral